This 562-nucleotide ribosomal RNA is filed under the name Alternaria sp. OUCMBI101241. Its description in RNAcentral is "eukaryotic LSU rRNA". The stretch from base 185 to 338 matches the Rfam family "5.8S ribosomal RNA". The record is from RNAcentral. Lineage: Eukaryota; Fungi; Ascomycota; Dothideomycetes; Pleosporales; Pleosporaceae.
ACGCCAUUGCCUGCAAAGUCUUACCAAUAUGAGGCGGGCUGGACCUCUCGGGGUUACAGCCUUGCUGAAUUAUUCACCCUUGUCUUUUGCGUACUUCUUGUUUCCUUGGUGGGUUCGCCCACCACUAGGACAAACAUAAACCUUUUGUAAUUGCAAUCAGCGUCAGUAACAAAUUAAUAAUUACAACUUUCAACAACGGAUCUCUUGGUUCUGGCAUCGAUGAAGAACGCAGCGAAAUGCGAUAAGUAGUGUGAAUUGCAGAAUUCAGUGAAUCAUCGAAUCUUUGAACGCACAUUGCGCCCUUUGGUAUUCCAAAGGGCAUGCCUGUUCGAGCGUCAUUUGUACCCUCAAGCUUUGCUUGGUGUUGGGCGUCUUGUCUCUAGCUUUGCUGGAGACUCGCCUUAAAGUAAUUGGCAGCCGGCCUACUGGUUUCGGAGCGCAGCACAAGUCGCACUCUCUAUCAGCAAAGGUCUAGCAUCCAUUAAGCCUUUUUUUCAACUUUUGACCUCGGAUCAGGUAGGGAUACCCGCUGAACUUAAGCAUAUCAAUAAGCGGAGGAAAA